GAUGAACGCUGGCGGCGUGCCUAAUACAUGCAAGUCGAGCGAACGGACGAGAAGCUUGCUUCUCUGAUGUUAGCGGCGGACGGGUGAGUAACACGUGUAUAACCUACCUAUAAGACUGGGAUAACUUCGGGAAACCGGAGCUAAUACCGGAUAAUAUUUUGAACCGCAUGGUUCAAAAGUGAAAGACGGUCUUGCUGUCACUUAUAGAUGGAUCCGCGCUGCAUUAGCUAGUUGGUAAGGUAACGGCUUACCAAGGCAACGAUGCAUAGCCGACCUGAGAGGGGGUACGGCCACACUGGAGCUGAGCCACGGCCCAGGCUCCUACGGGAGGCAGCGGUAGGGAAGCUUGCGAGAAGGGCGAAAGCCUGACGGAGCAACGCAGCGUGAGUGAUGAAGGUCUUCGGAUCGUAAAACGCUGUUAUUAGGGAAGAACACAUGUGUAAGUAACUGUGCACAUCUGGACGGUACCUAAUCAGAAAGCCCCGGCUAACUACGU
This 496-nucleotide ribosomal RNA is filed under the name uncultured bacterium. RNAcentral describes it as "partial 16S ribosomal RNA". It matches the Rfam family "Bacterial small subunit ribosomal RNA", at positions 28 to 506 of the family's 1533-position model. The record is from RNAcentral.